Molecule: unclassified non-coding RNA, 336 nt
Filed under: soil metagenome
Description: partial contains 5.8S ribosomal RNA, internal transcribed spacer 2, and large subunit ribosomal RNA
Rfam family: 5.8S ribosomal RNA (bases 1-120)
Source: RNAcentral
GAUGAAGAACGUAGCGAAAUGCGAUAAGUAAUGUGAAUUGCAGAAUUCAGUGAAUCAUCGAAUCUUUGAACGCACAUUGCGCCCGCCAGUAUUCUGGCGGGCAUGCCUGUUCGAGCGUCAUUUCAACCAUCAAGCCCCAGGCUUGUGUUGGGGACCUGCGGCUGCCGCAGGCCCUGAAAACCAGUGGCGGGCUCGCUGUCACACCGGGCGUAGUAGAUUUUAUCUCGCUCAGGGCGUGCUGCGGGUUCCGGCCGUUAAAAAGCCUUUUUUACCCAAGGUUGACCUCGGAUCAGGUAGGAAGAACCGCUGAACUUAAGCAUAUCAAUAAGCGGAGGA